Molecule: ribosomal RNA, 497 nt
Filed under: uncultured bacterium
Lineage: Bacteria
Description: partial 16S ribosomal RNA
Rfam family: Bacterial small subunit ribosomal RNA
Source: RNAcentral
GAUGAACGCUGGCGGCGUGCCUAAUACAUGCAAGUCGAGCGAACAGACGAGGAGCUUGCUCCUCUGACGUUAGCGGCGGACGGGUGAGUAACACGUGGAUAACCUACCUAUAAGACUGGGAUAACUUCGGGAAACCGGAGCUAAUACCGGAUAAUAUAUUGAACCGCAUGGUUCAAUAGUGAAAGACGGUUUUGCUGUCACUUAUAGAUGGAUCCGCGCCGCAUUAGCUAGUUGGUAAGGUAACGGGUUACCAAGGCGACGAUGCGUAGCCGACCUGAGAGGGUGAUCGGCCACACUGGAACUGAGACACGGUCCAGACUCCUACGGGAGGCAGCAGUAGGGAAUCUUCCGCAAUGGACGAAAGCCUGACGGAGCAACGCCGCGUGAGUGAUGAAGGUCUUCGGAUCGUAAAACUCUGUUAUUAGUGAAGAACAAAUGUGUAAGUAACUAUGCACGUCUUGACGGUACCUAAUCAGAAAGCCACGGCUAACUACGUG